AUGGUCAUGCGUCGCAUUAGCUAGUUGGCGGGGUAACGCCCCACCAAGGCGACGAUGCGUAGGGGUUCUGAGAGGAAGGUCCCCCACACUGGUACUGAGACACGGACCAGACUCCUACGGGAGGCAGCAGUGAGGAAUAUUGGUCAAUGGCCGCAGGGCUGAACCAGCCAAGUCGCGUGAGGGAUGACGGUCCUAUGGAUUGUAAACCUCUUUUGUCAGGGAGCAAAGGGCGCCACGUGUGGCGCUUUGCGAGUACCUGAAGAAAAAGCAUCGGCUAACUCCGUGCCAGCAGCCGCGGUAAUACGGAGGAUGCGAGCGUUAUCCGGAUUUAUUGGGUUUAAAGGGUGCGCAGGCGGAAUGUCAAGUCAGCGGUAAAAUUUCGGGGCUCAACCCCGUCGUGCCGUUGAAACUGGCGUUCUUGAGUGAGCGAGAAGUAUGCGGAAUGCGUGGUGUAGCGGUGAAAUGCAUAGAUAUCACGCAGAACUCCGAUUGCGAAGGCAGCAUACCGGCGCUCAACUGACGCUCAUGCACGAAAGCGUGGGUAUCGAACAGGAUUAGAUACCCUGGUAGUCCACGCAGUAAACGAUGAAUACUAACUGUCCGGGCAGAAUGAUGCCUGG
This 620-nucleotide ribosomal RNA is filed under the name uncultured bacterium. Its description in RNAcentral is "bacterial SSU rRNA". It matches the Rfam family "Bacterial small subunit ribosomal RNA", at positions 225 to 842 of the family's 1533-position model. The record is from RNAcentral.